GGGGCUGUGGCGGAAUUGGUAGACGCACUGGAUUUAGGUUCCAGCGCCGCAAGGUGUGAGAGUUCGAGUCUCUCCAGCCCCACCA
Molecule: transfer RNA, 85 nt
Filed under: Lwoffella lincolnii
Lineage: Bacteria; Pseudomonadati; Pseudomonadota; Gammaproteobacteria; Moraxellales; Moraxellaceae
Description: Moraxella lincolnii tRNA-Leu
Rfam family: tRNA
About the family: Transfer RNA (tRNA) molecules are approximately 80 nucleotides in length. Their secondary structure includes four short double-helical elements and three loops (D, anti-codon, and T loops). Further hydrogen bonds mediate the characteristic L-shaped molecular structure. tRNAs have two regions of fundamental functional importance: the anti-codon, which is responsible for specific mRNA codon recognition, and the 3' end, to which the tRNAs corresponding amino acid is attached (by aminoacyl-tRNA synthetases). tRNAs cope with the degeneracy of the genetic code in two manners: having more than one tRNA (with a specific anti-codon) for a particular amino acid; and 'wobble' base-pairing, i.e. permitting non-standard base-pairing at the 3rd anti-codon position.
Source: RNAcentral